RNAcentral lists this ribosomal RNA (456 nucleotides) under uncultured bacterium. Its description in RNAcentral is "bacterial SSU rRNA". It matches the Rfam family "Bacterial small subunit ribosomal RNA", at positions 340 to 786 of the family's 1533-position model. The record is from RNAcentral.
UACGGAAGGCAGCAGUGGGGAAUAUUGCACAAUGGGCGAAAGCCUGAUGCAGCUAUGCCGCGUGUAUGAAGAAGGCCUUAGGGUUGUAAAGUACUUUCAUCGGGGAGGAAAAACAAAACUAAUAAUUUUAUUUCUUGACGUUACCCGAAAAAGAAGCACCGGCUAACUCCGUGCCAGCAGCCGCGGUAAUACGGAGGGUGCUAGCGUUAAUCAGAAUUACUGGGCGUAAAGAGCACGUAGGUGGUUUUUUUAAGCCAGAUGUGAAAUCCCUGGGCUUAACCUAGGAACUGCAUUUUGAAACUGAAAUACUAGAGUAUCGUAGAGGGAGGUAGAAUUCUAGGUGUAGCGGUGAAAUGCGUAGAUAUCUGGAGGAAUACCUGUGGCGAAAGCGGCCUCCUAAACGAAUACUGACACUGAGGGUGCGAAAGCGUGGGGAGCAAACAGGGAUUAGAUACC